AGUGGCUGAAAACGCCUUGCCAAGGUUGGUGUGAGCCUAGCUUACCAAUUUUUGUUAAGAAGCUUAAAUGCAUUUACAACAUUUAAGGUCUCGAUUAGCCUAAACAGUGACUCAAACCAUGCAAGAACACAAUUCUAGACCCCUGCUGGCCUGUGCUCACAUUGUUCUGAAAAACUAGACCGUUUUCACAUCUCAUACUGUUGGUGGCAGUAUCAACUAUUUUUGCUGGUUUUGCCAUUUUUGAAUACACAGUGAAAAAACGUCACUGCAGGUGUGAAUAACAAAGAAUAGGCACAAGUGAGUUGUGCUAUUUUUGGAAGAGUCCUGCGGGCACCUUGUGUGGUCCUUGGGGCCCUGGUCUAUACUUACUGUACAUAGUGUAUAGCAUAUUUGAUAAAGUAUAAUUGAUAAAAUAGAAUUAAAGUCUUCUACUUUUUGAAUUUGGGAAUCUAUUUACACAAGUUUAUGAUUGACAUCAUCAAUACAGGGAAAAAGAUUUUCAUGAACAGAAUCUGUUGCCUUGAUGUCAAAUCAAAUCAUUUUUUGUUUUUUAUCAAUUUUCAAACUGUGCACCCAAAUUGAUAUUUUCAGUAAAAAGAUUAUUUUCUGUCAAAAUGUUUGAUAAAAAAGGGAAUUAUGUUCAUCGUAAAAAACAAAAACGCAUUAAUUGAGUUUCUUUGUGCAUCUCAUCUGCAUUUGAAGGCUUUACACAUCAUCACUCCUGUCACGUCAUUGUUUUUUUCACCAUGUGUACACAGGUGAACCUCUUUUUUUUAAGCCGUUUACAGCCUGGGCUCUUUGUUCAGUCAAAGCUGCCUUUGCAGGUUCUUAAGUCAGCCCAGGUUCCCUGUUUACCUGGAGCUUAGCACCUCUUUCUUUUUUCCUCUUCCAAAUAGGAAUCUUACAGCCACUUCAAAGCUUUGAAGCUUGGCUUCAAUGGUCUGGAUCUGACAGCAUCUGAUGAGUUAUUGGUUCUCUGGAGCUUGAGCCACAGCUUGAAAGACCCUCUGUAGCCAAUCUCCAAUAAUCCCUUUUGCAUAUUCUAAAUGAGCCAAAGCACACACAAAAAAAAAAAACAACCCUUCUAAUCUACAGAUAGUUGGAAAAUGAGCUUUGUUAUGAUGCUACAUUAUUGUUUAAAUUACUGCCAGAAACAUCUUUUGUAAAGACCCAGUCUUCUAAACUAAGUAAGAAUUUUUAACAAUUUACAGCUUAUUAGUACUCAUAUAUAUAUAAAAAACAAAAGUAAACAUAUUUUAAACUUUUAUGCACCUUUCCAACCGCUGAAAUCCAGAUCUAGCACUGAUAACAAACCUUUCACACUUUACUGAAUGAAAACUAGACUCUCUGAAAAUAAUAUAUAUAUAAUUCUCUUUCUUUGUUUAACAUAAUUGUAUACAUUUAUUCUGUUGUGAAACGACUUUUUUUAGUUUAUGCACUGUGCAAAUAUUUUUGUCUGGUUUUGUUGAAUGAAAAUAAAUAAAUGAAUAAAAUAAACAAAUAGGCAAAUAAACAAAUAAAUGUUGGUGAAUCUGUUUAUCUACUAAUAUUGUGACAACUUUUUCCCAUUUCUGCAAAUUUUUUGCAAGUACUUUUUAUCAUCUUGUGAUGCUUUUUUUCAUUAAAAGAACAGGAAACCCUAUCCUGUCAAGUCACUCAAAAGCGGAUAAAAGAAUGUGUGACUGGUUAAAAAAAUAAAGGCAGAAAGUUAAAGUCAACAAGACUUUACAGAAACUUGCCAAAACAAAAUAAAACUGAAGACUCCAAACAUCCAUAAAGAGAUUAUAAAAGGAAAUAAACAUGUAGGGCAAUCAAGACGGUGCAAAGAAAAUGAAUGAUGGAAACUUCAGAGGUACUUAAAGUAAACGGACUGACAAAGAAAAAAGAAAAGAAAAAUAUUACAGACGCAAACAGGAGGUGGUUGAUGAGAAUUGUCAAAGAGAUCCCUUUUAUCUCUCUUUCUUCAGCUCCUUUCCUCGACCCCAAUGACAAAUGGCAUGGGUCAAAGGAGUGGAGACGGAGAGGAAACAGAAAAAAGAUCAGUAAAUUUGCAGAAUUUGGCUCCAUCCCAUAGCCGUAUACUACAGACAUUCAGAAAAAAAUAAAAUAAAUUGUUCAUAAAUUAGCAUUUUUUUGCGUGCGCAAUAUAGCAUUUUUUGGCCACAAUUUACUAUUUUUUAGGAGCAAAUCAGCAUGUUGUGCACACAAAUUCGCAUUUUUAGACCAUAACUUAGUAUUUUGGGCACACAGAUUAGCAUUUAGAGGCAACAGUUUAGAAUGUUGUAGGCGACACUUAAUAUUUUAUGGAGACAACUGAAUAUUUUGUGCAAACAAAUUAGCAUUUUGUGGCCACAAUUUACAAUUUUUUAGGAACAAAUUAGCAUUUUGUGCAAACAAAUUUGUAUUUUUGGACCAAAAUGUUGUAUUUGUGCGCACAGAUUAGCACCUGGUAGCCACAAUUUAGCAUUUAGUUGGCACAAUUUAAUAUUUUGUAGGCCUCAAAUUAAUAUUAUGUAGCCACAAUUUAAUAUUUUUAGGCUUCAAUAUAACAUUUUGUAGCAGAAUUUUCUAUUUUGUGCACACAAAUUAGCAUUUGGGUAAAAUUUAGUAUAAUGUGUAGUGUACACAAUAUAGCACUUUAACGUAUUUUAGGCAAAAUGUAAUAUUUUGAGAGCUUGACUUAUCAAUUAGUGGGCUCAAUUUAGUAUUUUUUACCCAACAUAAGCAUUUUGAUACCAAAAUUUAGUAUUUUUGGCACAUAAAUUAGCACUUUGUCCACACAAGUAUCUCAUGGCCACAAAUUAGCAGUAGGAAUUAAUUAUUAUAAAAACAGUAAUUAGUGUGCACAAAGACUUUAAACUUCAAACUAUUUAUUUGUAAAGGGUCUUUUGUUCGCGUGAAACACAAAGCACUACUAAUUCAUGUGCACAAAAUGCUAAUCUUUCUGCAACAAAAUGCUAAUUUGUGUGCACAAAAUGCUUAUAAAUGCACAUUUUUGGCCACAAAAUGCUAAUUUGUGGCAACAAAACAUCAAUUUGAGAGAACAAUUACUUAUUUUCUGUCAGGGGCUUUGUAACAUAAAGUAUAUAUAUACAUUAUUACAAUUUCAACUAUGAAGAUUGACUACAUACGUGCACGAAAUGGUGGGCAGCAUAAAAUAUUAACAGUGAGAAAGGCUGAUAUUUUAAGUGAGAUUCAUUUAGUAAGUUUAAGUGCUUUAAUAACAAUCUACAAAAAGCUCAACCAUGAAAUACAAGUAAAGGACAAAAUAUGCAACAUAAAAACAUUUGAUCCUGCUAUGCUGCUUUCAGUGUUUGGAAUAGUAGAAUUGGAAAAUGUUUGACUCCAACAAAAAUCAUCUGAUAAUGCAGAGAGGACAACUAAAUGUGAAGAAGUGGAGGGUUUUAAAGUCCUCAACGCUAAAACUUUCAAAAUGCUCCCUCUGCCUUUCCAUCCUCUUUAACUGUAUUUGUCUUUUGGAGUUCAGUGUUAAAUGAACCUUAGCAGACUGUGGGGAUAAAUUAAGAGUAAAAACUCUCUAGAAACAAGUGAUAACUUAGAGAACACAUUUAAAAAAUGAAGAUAUGUAGAGGUGAAAUAAGCAUUUACUUUGCUGUUCCUCAACUGUUCUCCAUUAGCCUGUGUAGGAAUUUUGCGAUGACGAAUCUCCAGCAGAAAUCAUAUUUUACAGAGCACUUGCUGGCCCCAGAAUACACAUUUUAAUUGUUUAUUCCUGUAUGUUUUCUAGUUUUAUACAAUACAGAUGGGAUUAUUUUAGGGAAACAAUACUUUCCUGAAUAAAAACAUAAAAAAAAAUGUCAGUUUGUCUCCUCGUGGCCCCAUGAUCAACUACUGACCUUUACCCUACAUGUCAUUCGAUGACAGCUGGGAUCCAUCGCCGUGCCCCCAUGACCCCGAACACCAAAGAGCAAUAAUAGUAAGGGAAAGGAUGGAGGGAUUACAUCUCAAGGGGAGUUUCAAAACUGACAGAACACAUCACCGCUCCAGCAACACAAUGCAGCACAGUGAGCCACUCUCCCGGGAGGCGAGUCAAGGUCGUGGACAUGAUAACACCUCCCGACUGCGGCACCCAGAUGUUCAGGGCGAGAUAUGAGCUGAGUGAAAAUGUAAGCAGCAGGAAUGUGCUCACUAGCUUACUUACCACGGGCUCUGGAAUUGAUUUUACCUGAUGCAGAAUAACAAGUGUUUCUAUUAUUGAUUUGUUUAUUUCUUUAUGAAUGAAAUAUGAAUGUCAAGUUUGGAGCCCUAAAGCUGCUUUUCCCCCCAAGAAGCUCCUAUAUGGGUUGAUUUGAUGAUUUUAUGAAGCCCCUAUGUAAAAGUUAUAUAUAUAUAUAUAUAUAAGUAUGGUAUUAAAAAAUGAAGCUCAUUGGGUUGCUAUUUGUUGAACAAAAAGGGUAACAAGUGAUUCAUUCCUCAGGGCACACUAGAACCAGAACAUCUCUAGUGCUUGAUAAACAUCUUGGCCAAGUAGGUCACCAGGACAUUUGAACUGGAGAGUAAAUCAGGCGGCGUGUCUGCAGUACACGGGAGAGGAUGCACAUUUUGCAACCUUUAGCUUAGAUUCCUGCAGCCGAAAUGCACUUGAGAACUUUGUGUUUUGCUGUAUGUACACACAAGGUAUUGAGACUGAGAGGCAUAAUGUUCACACUGGACAAACAGGGAGGGGCUUCUUCUUUUUCUUUUUUUUUUUACUAGCCCUUGGGCUAACCUAGGUAUGUUUAAAUUAAAAGUGGGGUCAUCUAGACCAGUGGUCCCCAGGCACCGGGCCACGGAAGACCUAGUAAAUGAUGCCAGUUUUUUUUUUUUUUUUUUUUUUGAGUCAGAAAUCUUUUAUUUUGAAAAUCAACCGGAUUCUCUCGAUUUGACUGAGCGCUAAAAGCAGUCCAGCGGUGUGUAACCAUUGACAUGAAUAUCUUUUUCUUAUUAAACGGUCUAUGCAUGUAACACGAGAAUAGUUGUAUGUGGAACCUUACUUUGCAAAUGGAUGGGAUUAGUGCAGCAACAGAGGGACAGACAGAAGAACAGGUGAUUCCCACACACUGUGCCUGUUUACAUAGAGAUGUGCCUUUCACAAACGAAUCUAAUCUUUUGAACUGUCACAAAAAUGCUCAAACAAGGUCAUCCAUUCAGAUGCACAUUUCAGAGAAGUUGUGAACACGAUUCAUGCAAAAACUUUUGCAAGUAAGCGUGUACAAGAGGAGGGGGGCUCAGUCUUAGUCAGGAGUUUAAAAAAAUGUGUUUGUGUUAAAAUGUUUCACUUUUGCAUGAAGCUUCAAAGUAUUCUGAUUUGUUUCCUAUUGAGCAUCAAUUAUUGAUUUGUUGUACAUGUUGUGAAUGUAUAGAAGUUGUUUUUUUUUUAAACUUGAUUUGAACCACUUCUGACAUGACUGUUCCGUUAUGACCCAAGGGUAUAAUGCCAUUCAAAGUGUGCAUUAUCAGAAAUGAACGCACUUCACUGAAGCAAGGCUGUCACGGCGAGCAUUA
This is a long non-coding RNA of Oryzias melastigma (Indian medaka), 5505 nucleotides long. RefSeq lists it as uncharacterized. The transcript has 3 exons. Lineage: Eukaryota; Metazoa; Chordata; Actinopteri; Beloniformes; Adrianichthyidae. The record is from RefSeq and is a predicted model, not a curated record.